RNAcentral lists this unclassified non-coding RNA (337 nucleotides) under Auriculariales sp. RNAcentral's name for it is "partial contains 5.8S ribosomal RNA, internal transcribed spacer 2, and large subunit ribosomal RNA". The stretch from base 1 to 71 matches the Rfam family "5.8S ribosomal RNA", at positions 84 to 154 of the family's 154-position model. The record is from RNAcentral. Lineage: Eukaryota; Fungi; Basidiomycota; Agaricomycetes; Auriculariales.
GUGAAUCAUCGAAUCUUUGAACGCACCUUGCGCUCCUCGGUAUUCCGUGGAGCAUGCCUGUUUGAGUGUCACGUUAACCCUCACCUCUGGGACGUAACAGUCUCCGACGGUGGAUUUGGACGCCUGCCGUAGAUGGCUCGUCCUGAAAUGCAUUAGCUGGUGCUUGUUAGGGGCGCUCGGCAUGGUGUGAUAAUUAUCUGCGCCGUCGCCUUAGGCCUCUUCCAUGUGUGCUGCUUAUAGCCGUCCCCCCUGCGGACAAUGACUGACCGUCAAAGCCCCUUGGCCUCAAAUCAGGUAGGACUACCCGCUGAACUUAAGCAUAUCAAUAAGCGGAGGA